UACGUAGGGCGCAAGCGUUAUCCGGAAUUAUUGGGCGUAAAGAGCUCGUAGGCGGUUUGUCGCGUCUGCCGUGAAAGUCCGGGGCUCAACUCCGGAUCUGCGGUGGGUACGGGCAGACUAGAGUGCAGUAGGGGGAGACUGGAAUUCCUGGUGUAGCGGUGAAAUGCGCAGAUAUCAGGAGGAACACCGAUGGCGAAGGCAGGUCACUGGGCCGCAACUGACGCUGAGGAGCGAAAGCAUGGGGAGCGAACAGG
RNAcentral lists this ribosomal RNA (254 nucleotides) under uncultured bacterium. RNAcentral describes it as "partial 16S ribosomal RNA". It matches the Rfam family "Bacterial small subunit ribosomal RNA", at positions 524 to 776 of the family's 1533-position model. The record is from RNAcentral.